Arabis alpina (gray rockcress) is the source of this 96-nucleotide non-coding RNA. Lineage: Eukaryota; Viridiplantae; Streptophyta; Magnoliopsida; Brassicales; Brassicaceae. The record is from Rfam.
CCCGGCCCUCAGCUGGGUGCCUGAAAACACCGGAUCCCAUACCGAACUCCGAAGUUAAACAGGCGGGUCCCCGUGUCAAAGCGGGGUGGGUAGGGC